This 443-nucleotide ribosomal RNA is filed under the name uncultured bacterium. RNAcentral's name for it is "partial 16S ribosomal RNA". It matches the Rfam family "Bacterial small subunit ribosomal RNA", at positions 338 to 795 of the family's 1533-position model. The record is from RNAcentral.
CCUACGGGUGGCAGCAGUGGGGGAUAUUGGACAAUGGGGGAAACCCUGAACCAGCGACGUAGCGUGAGUGAAGAAGUAUUUCGGUAUGGAAAGCUUCAUCAGCAGGGAAGAAAGAAAUGACGGUACUUGAGUAAGAAGCUUCGGCUAAGUACGUGCCAGCAGUCGCGGUAAUACGUAGGAGGCAAGCGUGAUCCGGAUUUAUUGGGUGUAAAGGGAGCGUAGACGGGAAUGGAAGUCUGGAGUGAAAGGCUGCGGCUCAACCCUCGGACUGCUCUGGAAACUGAGUGACUUGAGUGCAGGAGAGGCAGGCGGAAUUCCUGGUGUAGCGGUGAAAUGCGUAGAUAUUACGAAGAACUCCGAUUGCGAAGGCAGCCUGCUAGACUGUAACUGACAUUGAUGCUCGAAAGUGUGGGUAGCAAACAGGAUUAGAUACCCGUGUAGUC